RNAcentral lists this ribosomal RNA (349 nucleotides) under uncultured rumen bacterium. RNAcentral describes it as "partial 16S ribosomal RNA". The record is from RNAcentral.
UAUUCCCCACUGCUGCCUCCCGUAGGAGUCUGGGCCGUAUCUCAGUCCCAAUGUGGCCGUUCAACCUCUCAGUCCGGCUACUGAUCGCAGCCUUGGUGAGCCGUUACCCCACCAACUAGCUAAUCAGAUAUGAGCCCAUCUUUCAGCGGAUUGCUCCUUUGGUAUCUAGAGGAUGCCCUCAAAAUACAUUAUGCGGUAUUAGCAGUCGUUUCCAACUGUUGUCCCCCUCUGAAAGGCAGGUUGCUCAUACAUUACUCACCCGUCCGCCACUAAGUGUUAAAAGCAAGCUCUCAACACUCCGUUCGACUUGCAUGUGUUAGGCACGCCGCCAGCGUUCAUCCUGAGCCAA